AUGGCAACACAUCAUUGGAUCAUAAUAUGUGGCAUAAAGCACCAUGUUCAAUUAGGGGAUUAUAGCAGGGUGCGGGAGAGUAGACAGCGUAAAAGAGAUGAGGAUGGUGAUGAUGAUGGUUAUGUUGAUGAAGACGAACACCGAGGCGAUGAUUCCCCUCCCGAUGGCACUCCGGCGCCACCGGAAGAGAGGAGGAGAGGUUCUCCCCCUUGUGCUUCUUCCUCCAUGGCCUCCACCUUCUGGUCCUUGGCCUUCAUGGUGAUGAAUACCCCUCCGGGAUACUCCUCCAUGGCCACCGGUGAUGAUGGCCCCCUCCGGCAGGGUGCCGGAGAGGGCCCCGAUUGGUUUUUCGUGGCUACAGAGGCUUGUGGCGGUGGAACUUCUGAUCUAAUCUCCGUUCUGAAAGUUUUAGGGUACGAGAGUAUAUAUGGGUGCAGGGGGUAUGUCGGAGGAGCUACGGGGGCCCCACGAGGCAGGGGACGCGCCCGGGGGGGUGGGCGCGCCCCCCACCCUCGUGGGCAGCCCGUAUCUCCCUUGACAUGCACUCCAAGUUCCCUGGGUUGCUUUCCUUCCAAAAAUAACUUCUCCUGUUGA
RNAcentral lists this ribosomal RNA (594 nucleotides) under Triticum aestivum (bread wheat). Its description in RNAcentral is "partial small subunit ribosomal RNA". The record is from RNAcentral. Lineage: Eukaryota; Viridiplantae; Streptophyta; Magnoliopsida; Poales; Poaceae.